GUCAGGAUGGCCGAGCGGUCUAAAGGCGCCAGACUCAAGGUUCAAUUCCUUCUCAUGAUGCAUUGUAGAGUGUUCUAGUCUCCGAAUGGAGGCGUGGGUUCGAAUCCCACUUCUGACA
This is a non-coding RNA of Nematostella vectensis (starlet sea anemone), 118 nucleotides long. NCBI's taxonomy places the organism in Eukaryota, Metazoa, Cnidaria, Anthozoa, Actiniaria, Edwardsiidae. The record is from Rfam.